UACGUAGGGUGCAAGCGUUAAUCGGAAUUACUGGGCGUAAAGGGUUUGUAGGUGGCUUGCUAAGUCAGACGUGAAAUCCCUCAGCUUAACUGGGGAACUGCGUCUGAUACUGGCGAGCUUGAGUGCAGGAGAGGAACGCGGAAUUCCAGGUGUAGCGGUGAAAUGCGUAGAUAUCUGGAGGAACACCGGUGGCGAAGGCGGCGUUCUGGACUGUAACUGACACUGAGAAACGAAAGCCAGGGUAGCAAACGGG
This 253-nucleotide ribosomal RNA is filed under the name uncultured bacterium. Its description in RNAcentral is "partial 16S ribosomal RNA". It matches the Rfam family "Bacterial small subunit ribosomal RNA", at positions 524 to 776 of the family's 1533-position model. The record is from RNAcentral.